CCUACGGGCGGCAUCAGUGAGGAAUAUUGGUCAAUGGACGCGAGUCUGAACCAGCCAAGUAGCGUGAAGGAUGACUGCCCUACGGGUUGUAAACUUCUUUUAUAUGGGAAUAAAAUGUUCCACGUGUGGCUUUUUGUAUGUACCUUAUGAAUAAGGAUCGGCUAACUCCGUGCCAGCAGCCGCGGUAAUACGGAGGAUCCGAGCGUUAUCCGGAUUUAUUGGGUUUAAAGGGAGCGUAGGUGGGUUGUUAAGUCAGUUGUGAAAGUUUGCGGCUCAACCGUAAAAUUGCAGUUGAAACUGGCAGUCUUGAGUACAGUAGAGGUAGGCGGAAUUCGUGGUGUAGCGGUGAAAUGCUUAGAUAUCACGAAGAACUCCGAUUGCGAAGGCAGCUUACUAGACUGCAACUGACACUGAGGCUCGAAAGUGUGGGUAUCAAACAGGAUUAGAUACCCCUGUAGUC
Molecule: ribosomal RNA, 460 nt
Filed under: uncultured bacterium
Lineage: Bacteria
Description: partial 16S ribosomal RNA
Rfam family: Bacterial small subunit ribosomal RNA
Source: RNAcentral